UACGUAGGGUGCGAGCGUUGUCCGGAAUUAUUGGGCGUAAAGAGCUCGUAGGCGGUUUGUUGCGUCUAUCGUGAAAACCUGCAGCUUAACUGUGGGCUUGCGGUGGAUACGGGCAGACUUGAGUUCGGUAGGGGAGACUGGAAUUCCUGGUGUAGCGGUGAAAUGCGCAGAUAUCAGGAGGAACACCGGUGGCGAAGGCGGUUCUCUGGGACGGUACUGACGCUGAGACGCGAAAGCGUGGGGAGCGAACAGG
This 253-nucleotide ribosomal RNA is filed under the name uncultured bacterium. RNAcentral's name for it is "partial 16S ribosomal RNA". It matches the Rfam family "Bacterial small subunit ribosomal RNA", at positions 524 to 776 of the family's 1533-position model. The record is from RNAcentral.